Long non-coding RNA from Paramacrobiotus metropolitanus, 3106 nucleotides. RefSeq lists it as uncharacterized. The transcript has 5 exons. The record is from RefSeq and is a predicted model, not a curated record. Lineage: Eukaryota; Metazoa; Tardigrada; Eutardigrada; Parachela; Macrobiotidae.
UUUUUUUGCAUAAUUAAAACUUCAUUUUAAACGCUCAAGAAGCUUCACUUAUUACACAGCAUCAACUGACUCAUGCGGCCUAAUCACAGAGAACAUUUGAUCUAAAUUUGCUCCCAUCGGUGCCGUUCCCAGGAUAGAUGCCGCAUUGCCUCGUUGGAUUUCGAUGCUGAUCCGCUGGCGCAGGAAUUCUGUGGCCCGCUUUUCGCCUUCUUAAAGCUUUCUUAAAACGUAGAAUUGCACAUAAAGAUGGUCGGACUAUUUGUGAGGCUGUGAGCAGCAGUUAUAUAUGCGCCAAGUACCGCAAUAAUACAGUGCAUAAUUACAAUGGAUGAAGAAGAGCAACAACAACGUCGUGUCGUACUUGCCUACAGUGGCAACAGCAUCACCGAUACAUUUAUCCAUAAGGGGACAUUGAUAUGGCUGGUGGAACAAGGGUACAGCGUUAUUGUAUUUUUGGCUAAUCUGGGCCAGAAAGAGGAUUUUCGUAAUACUGAGGAGGAAGCUUUGAGAUUAGGAGCCGCCAAGGUAAGUGCUUGUGGUAACAAAUUGCAGUUGCGUAUUCGCGCGAGCACCCGUAUAUUAUAGAAUUAUAGAUAUGUGCAGGUAAGGAGCAGAUGAGCUUAUCUACUUUUAAUAUUUAAACUGCUUAAUUAAGCGCAUAAUUACGAGAGCUGUAUAUUGUAUAUUAGCUUUAACAAGGAAGGUAGAUUGUAAUAUGUGCUAGGCUUAUGUCUGUUAAAUAAUUUUAUACAGAAUCUGAACGCAAUCGAUACUGCAUAUAACCUUACUUCUAUCAUUCUAUGGUAAGUAAAUAAGUUAUAAUUGUAUGGGACACGAAAAUUAUAAUGUUGUAUCCAGUUUAUUGUACGGUCAACACUUGGCGAAGUUGAAUAAAUUGAAACAGAAAAUCUGUAAAUUGUAAUACGAAAAACUUUAUUGUGAUUCAUAGAAAAGUAAAUGCGAGCGGUAGUGGGUGGCUGUUAUUAUUUAUAUAUGUUGAAGCGUGAUACAUGAAUUCACUGGAUGGGAAAAAAUGGUUAAUUACAUAUUUCUAUAACAUCUUUAAAAUUGCAAAAUUAGAUUUUUCAGCAGAUUAUCGCAGGCUUUACGUAUCGCAGUUAGUGUCGUAUGAUUUUGAAACACAAACAGCGGCUCAGCGGCUCUUAUAUAUAUGAUUUAGCAGUGAGCGUUUACAGACCGUAUGUAUUUUUAUAAAGGUGAUUAUCCAAGAUUGCCGGGAAGACUUUGUGGAGAACUAUAUGUGGACUUGGUUAAAAUCCAGUGCUCGCUACGAGGGCCGGUACAUGUGUGCCACACCAAUGUCCCGUUACUGUAUUGUGGAGAACCUUCUGAGGAUUGUUGUCAGCGAGCGUGCACACUGCACAGUAUAUGGCACAUGGAUGCAGUGCUAAAGGCAACGAUCAAAAUCGUUUCGAACUGAGCUGCAUUGCUUUACAACCGCAUAUAAAGGUCAUCGCUCCAUGGAGAAUCAGAGAAUUCUUCGAGAUUUUCAGCGAUCGGAACACUACCGAAGCGUAUCUUGCCGCACACGACCUUCCUAUUCCAGCCAGCUUAAACCGACCGUGGAGCACCGACGCUAAUAUUAUGAGCGUAAGCUUCGAAUAGGCAGCAUGUUAAACGAAACCGCUCAACGACCUCCCAGCCACAUGUAUGAGAUGACCACUGAUCCAAAAGAUUCUCCCAAUGAACCAGCCCAUGUCACCGUUUUCUUUCAAAAUGGAAUCCCAGUGAAAGUUUUGCACCGAAAUGGACGUGGAAAGGGUAUUGACGUUGUAUACGAAGGUUCGGUGGAAAUUAUGGAAUUUUUAAACAAGAUUGGGUAAGAUCGGUCACGGCACAUAUACGGUAAAAGCAGCUUCUAUGAGCAUCUAUGUCUUUAGUGGUUCAGCUUAUACGUUUCUCUAUUAGCAGAAUUAUUAACUGUACAACUAAACUAAACCAAUUACAAUGCAUAUAUUUAUCGAACUAAACUCUCUCUGUCCUCUUACUCCUCUAUAUAUAUGUUGUUAUUGGUUUGAACGCAUUAAACGUUUCAAUUUGAAAUGCUCAAAUCUCAAAUACAAGUAUACAAUGAUUAAUGAACGCUAAUUUUAUACAAACGGAAGAUAGAGAUUCUGGUUAUUUUUCAAUGUGUAAAAUUUUAACAGUGAAGUAGUUUAGGUAAUUUCGACGGCUAUUACAUAGUAAGAAAAUCCCAGUCAUGAACGAUAAUAAAUAGUGUAUGCUCGAUUUACAUAUCGAGCAAGCGAAUUAGUCAGAAUGACCAUGCGAUAACAGGGUUGCUGAACAGGGGCGAACACGGGGUAGGGCGACUGGAUAUCGUAGAGAAUCGGUCUAUGGGGAUGAAAUCUCGAGGCAUUUACGAGUCACCGGGAGCCGACAUAUUGUUUCUCGCACAUGAAGAUCGAUCUGGAAACGCUAACAAUGGACCGGGAAGUUCGUAAACUCAAGCAAAUGAUGGCUGAGCAAUUUGUGGAUCAAAUGUACCGAGGAUUUUGGUUCGCACCGGAGUGCAAGUACGCGCGGGAGUGUAUCGCUCUAAGCCAGGACUCAGUGUGCGGAUCGGUGACAUUAAUGUUAUACAAAGGUGGCGCACACGUUAUCGCGCGCCAUUCUCACAUUCCGUAUUACAACAAAAAACUUGCAAGUCCGGCAGUUGAGGAUGGAGAUGAUUACAACCCAGCCGAUGUCGAUGGAUUUAUCAAGAUCACCGGCAUUCGGCUCCAGGAGGCGGCUAGAAUUCGUGCUUGGAAGGACAAUGGAAACAACCGAGAGAACUAAUAAUUGUAAAGGGAACUGGCAUUAAUAUCGCUCGAAGCUAACACCGUUGCCUAAUGUAGUUAGUUUUCAUUUGUUUUAUUCACAAUAUAUUAAAUUUAUCCAACGUGUGAUCAAAAAUUUUGUGUGCGUAAAAUGAGUUUUACUUUCAUGCUGAUUUCUACAUGUCCACACGAGUGCCAAGCGCAUAUUUCAUUUAUUUUGGUAACAUUUUAAAUGAUUAAUUUCUGAGGGUGACUGGUUAACUGUACGGCAUUGUUUGACUCUGUUUUACGUUCUGUAUUCUUAAGAAAUGCAGCAGCAUAAA